Molecule: ribosomal RNA, 253 nt
Filed under: uncultured bacterium
Lineage: Bacteria
Description: partial 16S ribosomal RNA
Rfam family: Bacterial small subunit ribosomal RNA
Source: RNAcentral
UACAGAGGGGGCAAGCGUUGUUCGGAAUUACUGGGCGUAAAGGGCGCGUAGGCGGCCCUCUAAGUCAGACGUGAAAUCCCUCGGCUCAACCGGGGAACUGCGUCUGAGACUGGAAGGCUUGAAUUCGGGAGAGGGAUGUGGAAUUCCAGGUGUAGCGGUGAAAUGCGUAGAUAUCUGGAGGAACACCGGUGGCGAAGGCGGCAUCCUGGACCAGUACCGACGUUCAGGCACGAAAGCGUGGGGAGCAAACAGG